This 71-nucleotide transfer RNA is filed under the name uncultured Caulobacter sp. It matches the Rfam family "tRNA". Rfam says of the family: Transfer RNA (tRNA) molecules are approximately 80 nucleotides in length. Their secondary structure includes four short double-helical elements and three loops (D, anti-codon, and T loops). The record is from RNAcentral. Lineage: Bacteria; Pseudomonadati; Pseudomonadota; Alphaproteobacteria; Caulobacterales; Caulobacteraceae. RNAcentral also lists the same sequence under 1 other name.
CGGAUGUAGCUCAGUUGGUUAGAGCGCCGGCCUGUCACGCCGGAGGUCGCGGGUUCGAGCCCCGUCAUUCG